GCACGGGUGAGUAACACGUAUCCAACCUGCCGUCUACUCUUGGACAGCCUUCUGAAAGGAAGAUUAAUACAAGAUGGCAUCAUGAGUCCGCAUGUUCACAUGAUUAAAGGUGUUCCGGUAGACGAUGGGGAUGCGUUCCAUUAGAUAGUAGGCGGGGUAACGGCCCACCUAGUCUUCGAUGGAUAGGGGUUCUGAGAGGAAGGUCCCCCACAUUGGAACUGAGACACGGUCCAAACUCCUACGGGAGGCAGCAGUGAGGAAUAUUGGUCAAUGGGCGCAGGCCUGAACCAGCCAAGUAGCGUGAAGGAUGACUGCCCUAUGGGUUGUAAACUUCUUUUAUAAAGGAAUAAAGUCGGGUAUGUAUACCCGUUUGCAUGUACUUUAUGAAUAAGGAUCGGCUAACUCCGUGCCAGCAGCCGCGGUAAUACGGAGGAUCCGAGCGUUAUCCGGAUUUAUUGGGUUUAAAGGGAGCGUAGAUGGAUGUUUAAGUCAGUUGUGAAAGUUUGCGGCUCAACCGUAAAAUUGCAGUUGAUACUGGAUAUCUUGAGUGCAGUUGAGGCAGGCGGAAUUCGUGGUGUAGCGGUGAAAUGCUUAGAUAUCACGAAGAACUCCGAUUGCGAAGGCAGCCUGCUAAGCUGCAACUGACAUUGAGGCUCGAAAGUGUGGGUAUCAAACAGGAUUAGAUACCCUGGUAGUCCACACGGUAAACGAUGAAUACUCGCUGUUUGCGAUAUACGGCAAGCG
RNAcentral lists this ribosomal RNA (744 nucleotides) under uncultured bacterium. RNAcentral describes it as "bacterial SSU rRNA". It matches the Rfam family "Bacterial small subunit ribosomal RNA", at positions 100 to 845 of the family's 1533-position model. The record is from RNAcentral.